This 450-nucleotide ribosomal RNA is filed under the name uncultured Diversispora. RNAcentral's name for it is "SSU rRNA". It matches the Rfam family "Eukaryotic small subunit ribosomal RNA", at positions 569 to 1021 of the family's 1831-position model. The record is from RNAcentral. Lineage: Eukaryota; Fungi; Glomeromycota; Glomeromycetes; Diversisporales; Diversisporaceae.
AGCAGCCGCGGUAAUUCCAGCUCCAAUAGCGUAUAUUAAAGUUGUUGCAGUUAAAAAGCUCGUAGUUGAACUUCGGGGUCUACCCAUUGGUCAGGCUUAAUUGUCUGCACUGGCGGGAUGGAUCUCUACCUUCUGAGGAACUUUCAUGCCAUUUAUUUGGUGUGAUGGGAAAUCAGGACUGUUACUUUGAAAAAAUUAGAGUGCUUAAAGCAGACUAACGUCUGAAUACAUUAGCAUGGAAUAAUGAAAUAGGACGGACUGAUUCUAUUUCGUUGGUUUCUAGGAUCACCGUAAUGAUUAAUAGGGAUAGUUGGGGGCAUUAGUAUUCAAUUGUCAGAGGUGAAAUUCUUGGAUUUAUUGAAGACUAACUACUGCGAAAGCAUUUGCCAAGGAUGUUUUCAUUAAUCAAGAACGAAAGUUAGGGGAUCGAAGACGAUCAGAUACCGUCGU